RNAcentral lists this ribosomal RNA (377 nucleotides) under uncultured bacterium. RNAcentral's name for it is "bacterial SSU rRNA". It matches the Rfam family "Bacterial small subunit ribosomal RNA", at positions 30 to 410 of the family's 1533-position model. The record is from RNAcentral.
AUUGAACGCUGGCGGCAUGCUUUACACAUGCAAGUCGAACGGUAGGGUAGCAAUACCUGAGAGUGGCGAACGGGUGAGUAAUGCAUCGGAACAUGCCUAUUAGUGGGGGAUAGCCCGGCGAAAGCCGGAUUAAUACCGCAUACGAUCUAAGGAUGAAAGCAGGGGACCGCAAGGCCUUGCGCUAAUGGAGUGGCCGAUGUCAGAUUAGCUAGUUGGUGGGGUAAAGGCUCACCAAGGCGACGAUCUGUAGCUGGUUUGAGAGAACGACCAGCCACACUGGGACUGAGACACGGCCCAGACUCCUACGGGAGGCAGCAGUGGGGAAUUUUGGACAAUGGGCGGCGAAGCCUGAUCCAGCAAUAGCCGCGUGCAGGAUG